Non-coding RNA from Triticum aestivum (bread wheat), 121 nucleotides. NCBI's taxonomy places the organism in Eukaryota, Viridiplantae, Streptophyta, Magnoliopsida, Poales, Poaceae. The record is from Rfam.
AAUGUAUUCCCUCCGUCCGAAUAUACUUGUCACUUAAAUGGAUUGUAUCUAAAUGUAUUUCUAAAUACAUCCAUUUUUAUUUAUUUUGAUAACAAGUAAUUCCGGACGAAGGGAGUAUAUC